GAUGAACGCUGGCGGCGUGCCUAAUACAUGCAAGUCGAGCGAACAGAUGAGGAGCUUGCUCCUCUGACGUUAGCGGCGGACGGGUGAGUAACACGUGGAUAACCUACCUAUAAGACUGGGAUAACUUCGGGAAACCGGAGCUAAUACCGGAUAAUAUAUUGAACCGCAUGGUUCAAUAGUGAAAGACGGUUUUGCUGUCACUUAUAGAUGGAUCCGCGCCGCAUUAGCUAGUUGGUAAGGUAACGGCUUACCAAGGCAACGAUGCGUAGCCGACCUGAGAGGGUGAUCAGCCACACUGGAACUGAGACACGGUCCAGAGUCCUACGGGAGGCAGCGGUAGGGAAUCUUCCGCAAUGGGCGAAAGCCUGACGGAGCAACGCCGCGUGAGUGAUGAAGGUCUUCGGAUCGUAAAACUCUGUUAUUAGGGAAGAACAAAUGUGUAAGUAACUAUGCACGUCUUGACGGUACCUAAUCAAAAAGCCACGGCUAACUACGUG
This 497-nucleotide ribosomal RNA is filed under the name uncultured bacterium. RNAcentral's name for it is "partial 16S ribosomal RNA". It matches the Rfam family "Bacterial small subunit ribosomal RNA", at positions 28 to 507 of the family's 1533-position model. The record is from RNAcentral.